UACAGAGACUGCAAGCGUUAUUCGGAUUGACUGGGCGUAAAGGGCGCGUAGGCGGCUUGUACAGUCAGACGUGAAAUUCCUGGGCUCAACCUGGGGGCUGCGUUUGAUACGUGCGGGCUUGAGUUCGGAAGAGGGUCGUGGAAUUCCCAGUGUAGAGGUGAAAUUCGUAGAUAUUGGGAAGAACACCGGUGGCGAAGGCGGCGACCUGGUCCGAUACUGACGCUGAGGCGCGAAAGCGUGGGGAGCAAACAGG
Molecule: ribosomal RNA, 253 nt
Filed under: uncultured bacterium
Lineage: Bacteria
Description: partial 16S ribosomal RNA
Rfam family: Bacterial small subunit ribosomal RNA
Source: RNAcentral